UGCUUUACACAUGCAAGUCGAACGGCAGCAUAGGUGCUUGCACCUGAUGGCGAGUGGCGAACGGGUGAGUAAUGCAUCGGAACGUGCCCAGUCGUGGGGGAUAACGCAGCGAAAGUUGUGCUAAUACCGCAUACGAUCUAUGGAUGAAAGCGGGGGACCUUCGGGCCUCGCGCGAUUGGAGCGGCCGAUGUUAGAUUAGGUAGUUGGUGGGGUAAAGGCUCACCAAGCCAACGAUCUAUAGCUGGUCUGAGAGGACGACCAGCCACACUGGAACUGAGACACGGUCCAGACUCCUACGGGAGGCAGCAGUGGGGAAUUUUGGACAAUGGGCGAAAGCCUGAUCCAGCAAUACCGCGUGCAGGAAGAAGGCCCUCGGGUUGUAAACUGCUUUUGUACGGAACGAAACGGCGCGCUCUAAUAAAGUGCGCUAAUGACGGUACCGUAAGAAUAAGCACCGGCUAACUACGUGCCA
This 472-nucleotide ribosomal RNA is filed under the name uncultured Comamonadaceae bacterium. RNAcentral describes it as "bacterial SSU rRNA". It matches the Rfam family "Bacterial small subunit ribosomal RNA", at positions 45 to 510 of the family's 1533-position model. The record is from RNAcentral. Lineage: Bacteria; Pseudomonadati; Pseudomonadota; Betaproteobacteria; Burkholderiales; Comamonadaceae.